Long non-coding RNA from Carassius carassius (crucian carp), 596 nucleotides. RefSeq lists it as uncharacterized. NCBI's taxonomy places the organism in Eukaryota, Metazoa, Chordata, Actinopteri, Cypriniformes, Cyprinidae. The record is from RefSeq and is a predicted model, not a curated record. The transcript has 2 exons.
ACUCACUUUAAAAUAGUAAACAGAUACUAUCCAUGUAAUGACUUUAUCAGUAAGUUUAAAGAAGGGUUUUCACCAGUAUGCAGUUUCUGUAAAGAAGAAAAUGAAACAAUUGUACAUUUAUUUUUCAGUUGUAAUUAAAUUAUUUUGGUCCCAAGUUUCUUGGUUUCUUUUUGAGUUAUUUUAUAAGUUUGUUACAAUAACUGAUGCAAUGGUAUUGUUUAUGGAUUGUGAUACUGUUUGACAGAUGGGGAAGUCGUGGCCUGGUGGUUAGAGAAUCGGACUCCCAAUCGAAAGGUUGUGAGUUCGAGUCCCGGGCCGGCAGGAAUUGUGGGUGGGGGGAGUGCAUGUACAGUUCUCUCUCCACCUUCAAUACCACGACUUAGGUGCCCUUGAGCAAGGCAUUGAACCCCCAACUGCUCCCCGGGCGCCGCAGCAUAAAUGGCUGCCCACUGCUCCGGGUGUGUGCUCACAGUGUGUGUGUGUGUGUUCACUGCUCGGUGUGUGUGUGCACUUCGGAUGGGUUAAAUGCAGAGCACAAAUUCUGAGUAUGGGUCACCAUACUUGGCCGAAUGUCACUUCACUUUCACUUUCACUUU